RNAcentral lists this ribosomal RNA (497 nucleotides) under uncultured bacterium. RNAcentral's name for it is "partial 16S ribosomal RNA". It matches the Rfam family "Bacterial small subunit ribosomal RNA", at positions 28 to 507 of the family's 1533-position model. The record is from RNAcentral.
GAUGAACGCUGGCGGCGUGCCUAAUACAUGCAAGUCGAGCGAACAGACGAGGAGCUUGCUCCUCUGACGUUAGCGGCGGACGGGUGAGUAACACGUGGAUAACCUACCUAUAAGACUGGGAUAACUUCGGGAAACCGGAGCUAAUACCGGAUAAUAUAUUGAACCGCAUGGUUCAAUAGUGAAAGACGGUUUUGCUGUCACUUAUAGAUGGAUCCGCGCCGCAUUAGCUAGUUGGUAAGGUAACGGCUUACCAAGGCAACGAUGCGUAGCCGACCUGAGAGGGUGACCGGCCACACUGGAACUGAGACACGGUCCAGACUCCUACGGGAGGCAGCAGUAGGGAAUCUUCCGCAAAGGGCGAAAGCCUGACGGAGCAACGCCGCGUGAGUGAUGAAGGUCUUCGGAUCGUAAAACUCUGUUAUUAGGGAAGAACAAAUGUGUAAGUAACUAUGCACGUCUUGACGGUACCUAAUCAGAAAGCCACGGCUAACUACGUG